Long non-coding RNA from Odocoileus virginianus texanus, 1013 nucleotides. RefSeq lists it as uncharacterized. NCBI's taxonomy places the organism in Eukaryota, Metazoa, Chordata, Mammalia, Artiodactyla, Cervidae. The record is from RefSeq and is a predicted model, not a curated record.
UCCACAGGGUUGCAAAGAGCUGGACACAAGUGAGCACACAGCACAGCACACAGUCAUAAAUCCUGGGUAGCCCAGACAGAGGAGCUUUCCACUCGAACACAAUAGGCAGUGUUCCAUAGUUAAUAGGAGAAUUUCCAUAGUUUUAUGUAAGAUGAUAAUGGUGAGUAAAGGAUGGGAAUCAGUUUUACUUUUUAAGUAUUUGUUUUCCACAUUGUCAAAAUUAAAGAUAGCUUCAUGCUUCAUCCUCUCUUCCCCAAACCCUCCUCCUCCUUUCCUUUAUAUUUUCUCCUUUGCUACUUCAAUCAAAUGGAAUUAAAAGGCCAAAGCAAAGAGACACUAUCAUGGAUGUGAACCAUCCAAGGACCACAGUGGCAACCCAGUCAUCCUGAUGAUUUGAAAAGAAGCCUCAUGAAGAGCAUUGUGAAGAAUGUGGCAAAAAAAAGUUCCCAGGUAGUCAGAAUACAUGUUAAUUUGGCCCCAGACAUCUCUUUUGUUCUAAGUUUUCUCAUGAGAACAAGCAGGAAAUGAGUGUUUGCACCAGGCCACGUAGAUUGAAGCAGGAACAGGAGCUUCUGCCCCAUUUCGCUAAGCCGAAAGCCACAUGAAGAUGGAAGAAGUCAUUAAAGACAUGAACAUGUCUGCUUCUGAGUAUGAUGUGGUAGUAGUAGAAGGCAAUCACAACUAGAAAAAAAAGUUUAUAGAAGUCAAGAAGAAUAUAAAAUUCACAAAAAUAAAUUUUAGAGAGAGAAAAGGCUAAAACUGCUGGUCAUUUUCUUGCCUGGGAGCAUCUGCUGAGUCUGUUCAUAAGCUUUCAUAGUAAAGGUGAGAAACAAAAGUUUUUAUAUUCAUGCUGAUUAGCAUGGACAAAUUAGAAUAUACAGGACUGUCAAAUAGCCAUUUUCUCCCAGAGAAUAUUUGCUGAGAGCUAGGGCAGAGUAGGGGGUCUUCCCGAGUGAUGCAGUGGUAAAGAAUAUACCUGCCAGUGCAGGAAAUCCAGGCUCAAUCCCUGGGUU